GGGGAUGUAAAGGUUUCGACAGACUAUGGCAGUCUUAAAUCACAUUCCGACAAGGACAGUCGUUAAAACCAAACUAAAUAUAAUUGCAAACACUCAAUUAGCCGUAGCCUAAGCUACAAAAAAGUUUAAGUAAUUAAACAGCUAGAAACUGAUUCGUCUGGUAGGUUUCUAGUACAAACAGACGUGUGAUGGAUUCUGAUAAGUCACAGAUAACAAUCAGAACAGCGUUAGUGGAUAGUUGUUUAUUCAAGAAACUAAUAAUGUCUAUCAAAUGAAUAAACUAUGAAUGUAAGAAAGUUUAAGAUAUGUAUAGUUUGGACGCGGAUUCGAUUUCCGCCAUUUCCAUCA
RNAcentral lists this transfer-messenger RNA (348 nucleotides) under Bacteriophage sp. RNAcentral's name for it is "Phage Lactococcus Standard tmRNA". It matches the Rfam family "transfer-messenger RNA". From Rfam's summary of the family: Bacterial tmRNA, also known as 10Sa RNA or SsrA, is named for its dual tRNA and mRNA-like properties. Its role is to liberate the mRNA from a stalled ribosome. RNAcentral also lists the same sequence under 1 other name. The record is from RNAcentral.